GGGGGCGACCUGGUUUCGACAGGGGUUGCAAAGCAGCGCAGGGCAUACCGAGGGCUGGUCACCUCGUAAAUACAACCGGAAAUCAAUUAAACGCUAACGAUUCUAGUUACGCACUGGCCGCUUAAUCCCGGCUAGCUCCACACCGCUUCUUCCCUGGGGCGGGCCAGCAAUGGCAGUGGAGUCAUUCACAGGGAAUCGCGCAAAGCCGGGUCACUUGGCCAGCGCUAAACUUAAGGUGACUCGCCUAUCCGCAGCGUGCACGUCCGCGUCGGAGUGGUUAAAUCAAAUGGCAGUGCUAAGUAUGUAGAACUGUCUGUAGAGGAUUUCUGGACGCGGGUUCGAUUCCCGCCGCCUCCACCA
Molecule: transfer-messenger RNA, 360 nt
Filed under: Burkholderiaceae
Lineage: Bacteria; Pseudomonadati; Pseudomonadota; Betaproteobacteria; Burkholderiales
Also listed under: 1 other name
Description: PKWO01 sp019232795 Standard tmRNA
Rfam family: transfer-messenger RNA
About the family: Bacterial tmRNA, also known as 10Sa RNA or SsrA, is named for its dual tRNA and mRNA-like properties. Its role is to liberate the mRNA from a stalled ribosome.
Source: RNAcentral